Molecule: ribosomal RNA, 600 nt
Filed under: uncultured bacterium
Lineage: Bacteria
Description: bacterial SSU rRNA
Rfam family: Bacterial small subunit ribosomal RNA
Source: RNAcentral
UGGCGGACGGGUGAGUAACACGUGAGCAACCUGCCUAUCAGAGGGGGAUAACGAUUGGAAACGAUCGCUAAUACCGCAUGACAUAGCGGAACCGCAUGGUUCUGUUAUCAAAGAUUUUAUCGCUGAUAGAUGGGCUCGCGUCCGAUUAGAUAGUUGGUGGGGUAACGGCCUACCAAGUCGACGAUCGGUAGCCGGACUGAGAGGUCGGACGGCCACAUUGGGACUGAGACACGGCCCAGACUCCUACGGGAGGCAGCAGUGGGGGAUAUUGCACAAUGGGGGAAACCCUGAUGCAGCGACGCCGCGUGAGGGAAGACGGUCCUCUGGAUUGUAAACCUCUGUCUUCGGGGACGAAACGAGACGGUACCCGAGGAGGAAGCCACGGCUAACUACGUGCCAGCAGCCGCGGUAAUACGUAGGUGGCAAGCGUUGUCCGGAAUUACUGGGUGUAAAGGGAGCGUAGGCGGGCAGGCAAGUCAGGCGUGAAAUAUAUCGGCUCAACCGGUAACGGCGCUUGAAACUGCAGGUCUUGAGUGAAGUAGAGGUUGGCGGAAUUCCUAGUGUAGCGGUGAAAUGCGUAGAUAUUAGGAGGAACACCAG